GAGAUAGAGGUUGCGUAUUUUAAGAGUAAUUUUUUGGAUGUGGCAGGCACAGAGGAAGGAAAAUGAAAGGAAAACACGCCGAAAGAAUUCGGAGGCACUGCAUAUGGAUUCUUGGGGAUACAGUUAAGAGCUGUAUGACUGUCAUCAGAUUCUGAUGGGGCGCUAUCCGAU
This 171-nucleotide non-coding RNA is filed under the name human gut metagenome. RNAcentral's name for it is "Lysine riboswitch". It matches the Rfam family "Lysine riboswitch aptamer". Rfam says of the family: Riboswitches are metabolite binding domains within certain messenger RNAs that serve as precision sensors for their corresponding targets. Allosteric rearrangement of mRNA structure is mediated by ligand binding, and this results in modulation of gene expression. The record is from RNAcentral.